GUAUCCCUCUUGUCCAGCAGUGCAUGAUGGGAGAAAUGUAUGUGUUGGUCAGUUCCCCAUGUAGUCCCCUACUGUCCCACCCCUGGAAUGUCAGUAGGGAAACCCCUUGCAUGGGGACUUGCAUAAAUACUGUGACCUGUGAAUAAAACCUCAGUUGACUCCCAGCCUAUGUGUCGUCUAGUUCUUGGGAAGGAAGGAUUCUUACAACGCUACCGGGAUUAUUGUAUGCUGUAGUUAUUUACCUGGAUUAUUUUAUGCUGUUCCUGUUACCCAGC
RNAcentral lists this long non-coding RNA (275 nucleotides) under Pelobates cultripes (western spadefoot toad). The record is from RNAcentral. Lineage: Eukaryota; Metazoa; Chordata; Amphibia; Anura; Pelobatidae.